UCCCUGGUGGUUCAGACAGUAAAGAAUCUGCCUGCAAUGCAGAAGACCUGGGUUCGAUCCUUGGCUUGGGAA
RNAcentral lists this transfer RNA (72 nucleotides) under Ovis aries (sheep). It matches the Rfam family "tRNA". From Rfam's summary of the family: Transfer RNA (tRNA) molecules are approximately 80 nucleotides in length. Lineage: Eukaryota; Metazoa; Chordata; Mammalia; Artiodactyla; Bovidae. The record is from Rfam by way of RNAcentral.